RNAcentral lists this ribosomal RNA (440 nucleotides) under uncultured bacterium. RNAcentral describes it as "partial 16S ribosomal RNA". It matches the Rfam family "Bacterial small subunit ribosomal RNA", at positions 338 to 795 of the family's 1533-position model. The record is from RNAcentral.
CCUACGGGUGGCUGCAGUAGGGAAUUUUGCACAAUGGGCGAAAGCCUGACGCAGCAACGCCGCGUGAACGAGACGCCGUUCGGGGUGUUAAGGUCUUACAGUGGGGACGAAAAAUGACGGUACCCACAGAAGAAGCACCGGCUAACUCCGUGCCAGCAGCCGCGGUAAUACGUAGGGGGCAAGCGUUGUCCGGAAUGAUUGGGCGUAAAGAGUGCGUAGGCGGCAUGUAAAGUCAGGUGUUAAAGGCGCAGGCUCAACCUGUGUAUGGCACUUGAUACUUGCAAGCUGGAAUGCGGUAGGGGUAAAGGGAAUUCCUGGUGUAGCGGUGAAAUGCUUAGAUAUCAGGAGGAACAUCGGUGGCGUAGGCGCUUUACUGGGCCGUAAUUGACGCUGAGGACCGAAAGCCAGGGUAGCAAAUGGGAUUAGAUACCCGAGUAGUC